CUCUUUAUCCAGAAACUGAGGAUUUUUGCUUCUCACCAUAGAACUCAGACCAUGUGACAACUUACAGCAAAGUUCGAUAUCCAUGCUGUUGUAGAAGAUCCUACUUCCAGCCUUCAAGAAUUUACAUUCCUUCAGCAAGAGGCUUUUCCAGCGACUGUACGAUGUCUAGCACGGUGAACAGGCCCACAGGUCUGGACACUCUGGCAGUGGCAGCGUGAGUGGCGUACAGCUCGAAAGCCCCCUCCUGAGAGGAACGGCUGACUCACGGACCUCGCCAUGCAGACCAGGGUGUGUUGCAACCCACAGGCGUCUGUGUCCCUGGGUGAACUGAGCCCUGGAUAAUGGAGUUUUUCUGCAUCUCCAAAAAGCCACAGAUUAAAUGCUUUUCCGGUUCUGGUUGGUUGGUUCCACUUCCGCAUGCUCUAGUUUUCAUCUCCUUCCCGAAAAUCCGGGAUGUUUCAUGGAACCAUGGACAUUCAUGGUCAAAGGGCAAUCCUGGAACGUCAGCGGUAUUCACGCUGGAUGGUCGCCCGCCGGGACUUGAACCCUCCUGGCUGUGACAGAGGGCUCACUGCCUUAAGCCACAGGGUGCUGGACUAUUUGCAACGUGAACUGGAACGCUA
This is a long non-coding RNA of Carlito syrichta (Philippine tarsier), 623 nucleotides long. RefSeq lists it as uncharacterized. Lineage: Eukaryota; Metazoa; Chordata; Mammalia; Primates; Tarsiidae. The record is from RefSeq and is a predicted model, not a curated record. The transcript is spliced from 4 exons.